RNAcentral lists this ribosomal RNA (449 nucleotides) under uncultured bacterium. RNAcentral's name for it is "partial 16S ribosomal RNA". It matches the Rfam family "Bacterial small subunit ribosomal RNA", at positions 29 to 523 of the family's 1533-position model. The record is from RNAcentral.
AACGAACGCUGGCGGCAUGCCUAACACAUGCAAGUCGAACGAGAUCUUCGGGUCUAGUGGCGCACGGGUGCGUAACGCGUGGGAAUCUGCCCUUUGGUUCGGAAUAACAGUUGGAAACGACUGCUAAUACCGGAUGAUGACGAGAGUCCAAAGAUUUAUCGCCAGAGGAUGAGCCCGCGUAGGAUUAGCUAGUUGGUGUGGUAAAGGCGCACCAAGGCGACGAUCCUUAGCUGGUCCGAGAGGAUGAUCAGCCACACUGGGACUGAGACACGGCCCAGACUCCUACGGGAGGCAGCAGUGGGGAAUAUUGGACAAUGGGCGAAAGCCUGAUCCAGCAAUGCAGCGUGAGUGAUGAAGGCCUUAGGGUUGUAAAGCUCUUUUACCCGGGAUGAUAAUGACAGUACCGGGAGAAUAAGCUCCGGCUAACUCCGUGCCAGCCGCCGCGGUAA